UCGCCUCUGGGAUGAAGCAGCCCCUAACAUAUUAAUCAUCCCCUUCACUUUGUCUGCUAAAACCUUUUAUUUGGCUGAUCAUUAGUGGAUGUGAGAUUU
This is a non-coding RNA of Brachypodium distachyon (stiff brome), 99 nucleotides long. NCBI's taxonomy places the organism in Eukaryota, Viridiplantae, Streptophyta, Magnoliopsida, Poales, Poaceae. The record is from Rfam.